RNAcentral lists this ribosomal RNA (495 nucleotides) under uncultured bacterium. RNAcentral describes it as "partial 16S ribosomal RNA". It matches the Rfam family "Bacterial small subunit ribosomal RNA", at positions 28 to 507 of the family's 1533-position model. The record is from RNAcentral.
GAUGAACGCUGGCGGCGUGCCUAAUACAUGCAAGUCGAACGCUGAAGGAGGAGCUUGCUCUUCUGGAUGAGUUGCGAACGGGUGAGUAACGCGUAGGUAACCUGCCUGGUAGCGGGGGAUAACUAUUGGAAACGAUAGCUAAUACCGCAUGACAACAGUUAUUGCAUGAUAACUGUUUAAAAGGGGCAACUGCUCCACUACCAGAUGGACCUGCGUUGUAUUAGCUAGUUGGUGAGGUAACGGCUCACCAAGGCGACGAUACAUAGCCGACCUGAGAGGGUGAUCGGCCACACUGGGACUGAGACACGGCCCAGACUCCUACGGGAGGCAGCAGUAGGGAAUCUUCGGCAAUGGACGGAAGUCUGACCGAGCAACGCCGCGUGAGUGAAGAAGGUUUUCGGAUCGUAAAGCUCUGUUGUAAGAGAAGAACGAGUGUGAGAGUGGAAAGUUCACACUGUGACGGUAUCUUACCAGAAAGAGACGGCUAACUACGUG